RNAcentral lists this long non-coding RNA (302 nucleotides) under Solanum tuberosum (potato). Its description in RNAcentral is "long non-coding RNA (STUB_LNC006839)". The record is from RNAcentral. Lineage: Eukaryota; Viridiplantae; Streptophyta; Magnoliopsida; Solanales; Solanaceae.
AACCAUCUUGGGAAUCUGACCCCUCUGAAGACCUAGAAGAAGAAGAAGAAGUCCAGCAAGAGGAGAAGGAAGUGGAGGGAGGCGAGGGCGAAGGUGAAGACGAAGGCGAGGAAGUGAAUUCGCCUCACUUAGAACUGAAAUUGCCUCGUUCAGAACUGAAAUCGCCUCGUUCAGAACUGAAAUCUCCCCGUUCAGAGUUGGAAAUCUUCUGCGAAACGAUGGACCAUUGUGGUUUGCGGAAGUAUAUGACAACACAUAUUUCAAAUUUUCGUGGACUGCGUGAAGAAGUCCGUAAGGCAUUG